This 506-nucleotide ribosomal RNA is filed under the name Veillonella parvula. RNAcentral's name for it is "bacterial SSU rRNA". It matches the Rfam family "Bacterial small subunit ribosomal RNA", at positions 28 to 503 of the family's 1533-position model. The record is from RNAcentral. Lineage: Bacteria; Bacillati; Bacillota; Negativicutes; Veillonellales; Veillonellaceae.
GACGAACGCUGGCGGCGUGCUUAACACAUGCAAGUCGAACGAAGAGCGACGGAAGCUUGCUUCUAUCAAUCUUAGUGGCGAACGGGUGAGUAACGCGUAAUCCAACCUGCCCUUCAGAGGGGGACAACAGUUGGAAACGACUGCUAAUACCGCAUACGAUCUAAUCUCGGCAUCGAGGAUAGAUGAAAGGUGGCCUCUACAUGUAAGCUAUCACUGAAGGAGGGGAUUGCGUCUGAUUAGCUAGUUGGAGGGGUAACGGCCCACCAAGGCGAUGAUCAGUAGCCGGUCUGAGAGGAUGAACGGCCACAUUGGGACUGAGACACGGCCCAGACUCCUACGGGAGGCAGCAGUGGGGAAUCUUCCGCAAUGGACGAAAGUCUGACGGAGCAACGCCGCGUGAGUGAUGACGGCCUUCGGGUUGUAAAGCUCUGUUAAUCGGGACGAAAGGCCUUCUUGCAAAUAGUGAGAAGGAUUGACGGUACCGGAAUAGAAACCACGGCUAACUA